Molecule: small nucleolar RNA, 92 nt
Filed under: Paramormyrops kingsleyae
Lineage: Eukaryota; Metazoa; Chordata; Actinopteri; Osteoglossiformes; Mormyridae
Description: Small nucleolar RNA SNORD111 (ENSPKIG00000002798.1)
Source: RNAcentral
CGGCCGAUGUGGACGUGAUGAGUUUGUUCAUGUCUCUUCUCUGACUCAUUCCAUUCCUGGAGAGGACUUAUACGGAUCUGAUCCCCUGGCCU